CCAAAGUUGGAAAAGAGAAAACAAAUGAAAAGUAGAUAAAGGAGGAAUGAGUGAUAGAAGCUGACUCACUCGGAUUCACAGCCCCACCAAAUGGGGCUUGCACAGUUCAGGUGGUCUGAAUUGGGGUAGCUCUGUAGUUAUGGCCUAUUGGACAGGCAGAAAAUGUCUCUGGAACUGCCAAGCUGGAUUUUUUACAAGAAUUAAAAUUGUUGUUAUAAUAAGAGAUCAAGUGGACAAACAUACUCAGUAAAGUCUUAUAAAAAUAAACUUUGUGUGUAUAUACUUCCAGUUGAACUCUAGGCUGGCAGGAAUCAGCCUGUUACUGAGAGGCACCACUGCAGGACAGCAGGAGGCAAUAAGUAAAUGACUGCAAAAAAGAUUAUUCCUUUGUCCACUUCACAUAUGCACAGUAGUGCAUGCAGUUAGCAGAGCUGUCAGUGCUUAUUAGCAAACACAGACUGCCUGCAGGCUCCUACAGGCUCAAAAUUCACAUUAUAUCCAUGUCCUCUGUACUUUCUAUUAGUAUGUGUAGAACAGCUAAGCUGUAAUACUGUAAAGCAGUAAAUAACACUGUGUUUACCCAAACAAUUACAACUUACUUAUCUUCCCUUGAAAUACCAAAUAGUAGUGGUUUACAUGAUGGCUUUCCUCAAUGCAGUCAAGCAACCACCUUACCAGAAAAGGCAGCAAACACCAAUCUAGACUAAAUAGUAUGUUCAUCCAUGCAAUGACGGGGCACAGCAUUAAGACAAAUGUUUUCCCUGCUGCAAAGAUCCUUGUGAGACAGAGAAGGGGCCCCAGAAUGUAUCCCAGGACCUGACUUUUCCUGUCUGGAAUGGAACAGAAAUGUUCCUCAUGCUCCAGCUCCUCCAAGCCUACUGCUUUGAAAAUAUGGCAACUUGUCCAAAAUCUAGUAACCUUGAAUAUUCUAACUGAACAUACAUUCACAAAAUGUAUAAAAUGAAUCUGCUGUGCUAAUUGUUCUGCUCUAAGGCUUUAAGGGAAUGCCAAACAUAAACAGUUGAGUCUGGACCAAUUUUGACCAAGGUGUUCUGAUCAAGGUUUCGGCACUUUUGCAGGAUAUGUGUUUGAUAGUCAAAACGUUGCUCUGUCAUUGUCCGCAGAAUUAGCCUAGUAAUCUUUAUCUUUCCCAUUCUACUAUUUACUGUUACAGUGCUAUUUCAUUCCCAGAAUUGUCAGUAAACAUCUUAAUCCCUCUGUCAGUUAAUUGCUGACUGAUUUAGGAAACGGUGUAAAAAUGCCUGAAGUGAAUGGGGCUGAAAAUCUGUAAAUAAUGCAGGAAGGAGCUAUGGAGUAUCUUCACAUUACAAAAUAUUUACUUAACAAUCAUCUUGAAAGUGUAUUCUUUAGGAAACAGCUACUCCAAACAGCCUUCCCUGGUCAUGGCUUAAAAUUAAAACAAAACAAAGUAAAACCAUAACAGUGGAAACAAGAUGUGAUUAACUCUCCUUCAUUUAUACUAUACAGGGUCCAGCCUUGCUCAAUUUAUUGCAAGUGUUUAUCCCUCUGGAAAGAUGGACUUGGCAUAAUUGCCAAGAAUAACAACUUGAUGAAUGAUGAUUAGCAGUAAAUACAAAAUGUUUAUCUCAUGUUAUGUAUGGAGCCCUGGAGAAGUCAUGACAAUACUGAGUCGUUGACUUGAUUAACUUAGACACAGAAGAUGUCUCGGAUGGAGGAGGUGGUGCUGUGGAAAAGAUGAAAUAGCAAACAUAAGAUGCAGGCUCUCUUCAGACAUACACUAAGGAUGAUCACAACCAUUACCUGCUUUGCCAUUUGCAGGACAUUGCUAUCUGCACACACUGUGGGAAGCGAGGCUUGAGGAGCCACAUUUCCAUGACCAAAGGUGUCAUGGAAACACAGAGAGAUGUGGAAGCUAUGAUAGUAUACUAUCUAGUAUAUAACACCUAAAUACACUGGAGUCAGCUUCUCACCAUCCAUUCUGGGAUGUGAUGAUAAAAGAAGGAAAUGAGAAAUGGAAAUUCUGGCACUGAAAGGCAAGCUCAGAGCAGACGGAGGGAAAUAUCUGUACAUUCUGACCAUUCAAGAUAGAGAACUGGAAGAAUUGGUGGGACAGACCUGAACGGAGAUGGAGAACUCAGCCGGGUAAAGGAUUAAACCUCUCAACUAAUAGGGGAAUUAGUUGCUGAGCAACAGCUGUGGAAACAUAUGGAACACAAGCUGUAUUUGCCAAGUGAUCAAGACAAAAUGUAGUGCUAUUAUAGACACUAAAACCUGAGAGCCAGUUUACUUAACUGCAUUUUUCGCUGCAACAUUCGUUUUUGAAGAGCAGUUUUCUUUCAGAAUUAAAUUAGAUCAAGUUAUGAAUGUAAGUUACAGAAGACAGAGUAAGGGGGGAUGGUAAAAGAGACUAAUAAAAGCUGUUUCCCUGCCUGCCUUUAUCAAAUGGGAGUCUAUGUUGGUGAUCACUGGCAAAAUAGCCAAAGAAGCAGAACAAAACUUCCCUGCUUCUUUUCUGGCAGCAAGAAAAUGUGCCUCCCUGUGCCCUUCUCUUAGUUUCUUUUGACUUCAAAUUUCUUCUGUGCCAUCAAGUCUAAGUCCAAGAAAAUGUCCGACUCCGUCCUUUCUUUCAAGUACCCCAUAAAAGCUUUUGUGAGUCCAGUAUUUUUUGUUUCUCAGAUUCCUGCUUCAAAUGAAUCACUGAGCAAUGCAUUAGUCAAUUCAUGGGCAAAACAGACCACGUUAAUAUUCAGAAACUGUCUGAGUUCCAGUUCCUAGUGCUACAUCCUUUCUUUCCUAGAAAAUGGGAGUACCAUAAUCUUUAUCAUAAGAAGGUUUAGGAAUUGCACAAUUAAUGAAAGAGAAAAUUCUCAGUGCAUGAUUAAUUCAAAAACCUUAUUAAGAAUCAAAACUUUUAGUUGUGUAUUUUACAGACCACUACACAUGAUUUCCCAGUUAAUUCAGUCAGUCUUUUCAAACAAGUAACAAAGAAUAAACACUUACUGAACUUUGAAUGAGUUUGAGAACCUAUAAAAUAUUCAGAAACAGAAGGGGUGGAUGCAAUCUUUCAGAUUCAGAGGUCAUAGCUUUGGACUCAACACAAGAUGGCAAGUCUGGAUAUAAGCAGAAUUAUACUAUAAGAGUUUAAAUACUAUAUCAAAAGAGUUUGAAAGCUGAAAUCCAACCAAUUCUAACCUCUCUUAAUGGAACUUCACCUGUCCUUUUGAAUGUCUGUCUCUGCCUGGCAGUACUAAGUGUUUGAAAAGGCAGCACCAAGGGUUCAAAUUCCUCCUGAGAUUUUAAAAUUCCAAGGUGAUACAAUCUCAGCUCAAGCUUCUGCUGUUUGUCAAGAGGUGCCUGUGUCAAUCGUGCCUCUCAGAAUAAGAGAGGAGAGGGAGAAAAGGAUCCUGUGAAACAUUUGAAAAAUGCAGUUCGAGACUUUGUUUGCCUAGCCAGAUUUUGCGUUUAAUUGAAAUACUUAAAAGAUCUUAAAACUCCAACAAAGUUAUUAACAAAAUAAAGUAAUAUUUAAGAUUGGAAUUGAGUAAUCUAGAUAAUGAUAUCGGCUUAUUUUUUCUAAAGUAUUUCUGGAAAAUUUAUCAGGGCUGAUCAUGAAAAAAAAAGGCAGGAAAAUGGAAACACUAUCAAGGACUGCAACAGCAGGUCCACAGUCUAUUUUACUCCUCUUGGGACUGCUAAUUGAUUGACCCACUGCCAUCUGCCUUUAGUGUCUUGCAGUAUUGCACAACAUUAUAUUCGAUAAAGAAAAAUAUUAGCAUUGAUGCUACAGAUUAUUCACAAGGAAGGGCAAAGCUACACAUAUCUAGCUAAAUCUUUCCAAAUCUUCCUAUAUCUUUUAAAAACUAAUAUGCUGCUAGCACAGGGAGUUGUUGUUGAUACUCAAUGACCUUUACUGGCACAAAGGCAUCUAUGCAGAAAUUAUGCAAGUUGUACAGUAAUUUUUCCCCCUACAUAUAGGACUUGCACUAGAAAAUGGAACUACCUCGAACAAGAUUAACUGUUGGACAUACCUGUGGGUGAUUCAGCAUGAGCUAUACUGUGCUGUAUCUGUGUACCCGUGUGAAUGUAAAUAUGCUUCUGCAUUACUAUCAGACCCAACCUUAUUCUAUUUCCUUCUCCCUUCUCACAUCCUCUUGUCAAAAGACAAAGUGAAAAAGAAGUAGCCAUUGCACUGAUUAACAGGGGAAGACUAUACUUGCUUCACAUACUUUUUGAACAUCAGGCUUAUUGGUUUUCUGAGGAGUUAGAAAAGACACAAAUCUAGCCAUCCUGUUUGGAACCCUCUUCUCAAGCGGCGCACUCUGUAUAUGCUGAAGUGCUGCUAUUACUUUAUUAAACUGAACUUCAUUACAUAAGUAUGAAUUUUAUUUUCAUGAGCACAACUCAAGGUUGUAUAAAUUGGUCAUUUCUCAAGUUGAUAAGCGUCAACAUUUCUGAAAUUUGUAUGUCUUUGUCAUGCACUUUGAAUUCAAUGGCACUUCUGUUACACAAAAAGAAUAUGAAAUGCCUCUUAAGUCAAAUGUGAUGAUA
Long non-coding RNA from Empidonax traillii (willow flycatcher), 4530 nucleotides. RefSeq lists it as uncharacterized. Lineage: Eukaryota; Metazoa; Chordata; Aves; Passeriformes; Tyrannidae. The record is from RefSeq and is a predicted model, not a curated record. The transcript has 4 exons.